This 484-nucleotide ribosomal RNA is filed under the name uncultured bacterium. RNAcentral's name for it is "partial 16S ribosomal RNA". It matches the Rfam family "Bacterial small subunit ribosomal RNA", at positions 30 to 507 of the family's 1533-position model. The record is from RNAcentral.
AUUGAACGCUGGCGGCAGGCCUAACACAUGCAAGUCGAGCGGAUGAAGGGAGCUUGCUCCUGGAUUCAGCGGCGGACGGGUGAGUAAUGCCUAGGAAUCUGCCUGGUGGUGGGGGAUAACGUCCGGAAACGGGCGCUAAUACCGCAUACGUCCUGAGGGAGAAAGUGGGGGAUCUUCGGACCUCACGCUAUCAGAUGAGCCUAGGUCGGAUUAGCUAGUUGGUGGGGUAAAGGCCUACCAAGGCGACGAUCCGUAACUGGUCUGAGAGGAUGAUCAGUCACACUGGAACUGAGACACGGUCCAGACUCCUACGGGAGGCAGCAGUGGGGAAUAUUGGACAAAGGGCGAAAGCCUGAUCCAGCCAUGCCGCGUGUGUGAAGAAGGUCUUCGGAUUGUAAAGCACUUUAAGUUGGGAGGAAGGGCAGUAAGUUAAUACCUUGCUGUUUUGACGUUACCAACAGAAUAAGCACCGGCUAACUUCGUG